RNAcentral lists this long non-coding RNA (667 nucleotides) under Drosophila guanche. The record is from RNAcentral. Lineage: Eukaryota; Metazoa; Arthropoda; Insecta; Diptera; Drosophilidae.
AUUUCGGCAAAGGUUUGUAGAGAAAGGAGUUGGUAAGGAGUAUUGCUGUUUCCUCAGUCGACUUGUGAGAAUUUCCAGCAAUAAAAAAGGUUGGGAGAGCUGUUUAAUUACGCCCCUGCUCGGCCCACACAAACAUUGUAAAACAAUAACAAUAAAAACGAGCUGAGCGCUGGAAGGUUCGUACGAGUAAAUAAUGUGCGAAGGGAAAAUAUGUGAAAUGCUAAUGCAAACAGUUUUUCACAUUCUCAUUUUUCCCAGAAAAAUAUUGGCCGAGAACCCGCUUUAUGAUCCUUGAGCAACACCGUUUAUAGCGCAGUUUCGGCGAGGGGCGUUUGCCAAAUGACUUUUAAAUGCCGUCUGUGAUUCGGCCUUAACUAUCGUAAUUGUUUUUCUGUGUUCUGGGUCUGUUCUUUUACAGCACACAGCGAGACGAAAAACAAGCUGAAUAAUGUUGCUGAGCUCAAGCACAAUGUUGAAGCCUUUGGGAGUUGGCUUGGGCUUGGGCUCGGGCUCGGGCUCGGGCAAUGGUAGAUUGUUAAAAAAGCAUUCAAGGAAGAAUUAUGGACUUUUCCCAGGUGAACUGAACCACUAGAACCCAAAGAAAUUCGAUUUACCUUUGGCUUUGACUGCUCAGAUUUCGUUGCGUUCUUUUCUCUGGAUACUCAAG